UUAUGGGAAGUGGCACAGGAGGAUAAUUCAAUCAUACGGCACAAUCCUCUCCCACGGAGGAAGGAGAGAUAUCAGAGAUUGAGCUCUUUUGAUAAUCGAUGGACAUUCCUGUGACCAAUUCGAAGCUACACAAGUGAAAAUCAAUGCAUUCCUUGCUAGUUUUCAUGAAAAUUAAUGUAUCAACCUAGGUGUUUUCAAGGCGCUCUGUAAGAUUGGCCAACAUUGCCACAUUCACUAUUCUACAGAGAGGGUUGGCUGCGAGCAAUGAAAAGAAAAUAAGAGAGUGGAUCGUCUGCCUGAUUCCUAUUGUGCACCAUAAAAAGAAAGAGGUGCAUGAGUUAGUAGACAAGAUAUUUUAGUUUCUUUUUCUUUUUUUUGGGUCUAAGACAAUUCAAUGUAAGAACCGAGAUAGGCAGGUGACUCAAAAUCGAGAUCUUUCAUAUAUGAUUCAGAAAUUAUAAUUAUCCUUAAUUCGUAUAUCUUACGUGAUGCAUUGUUUUGAUUGUAAUCUUGUUAUUAUUCAACUAGAUGGUCUCUCCUUGAGCAGAAGAAAUAACUAAUUAUUAGUUCAAAUUAAACUAUGGCAGAGGAGAUGGAGAUAUAACUAGUUUUAGCUGAUAAAUUUUUUUCAAGUCGUAUGCAGAUGGAAGUGAACUUUCAAUUACUUAGAUAUAUAUCAUGAAAUCUCUUGCAAUCCCCAUCAUUCACACGCCACUUAUGUUUCAGAAACGAUCCGUACUUCAUGCGAACAUGCAUUGAAUUAGGGUAUGUACGGUUUGCAGGCUGAGCUGUGGAUUGAUAAGCCCGGGUUGGUCCUCUACUAAUAGCUUAAAAUUUUUGGUCCGUGAC
This 849-nucleotide long non-coding RNA is filed under the name Elaeis guineensis (African oil palm). RNAcentral's name for it is "long non-coding RNA (EGUI_LNC075151)". Lineage: Eukaryota; Viridiplantae; Streptophyta; Magnoliopsida; Arecales; Arecaceae. The record is from RNAcentral.